Molecule: long non-coding RNA, 654 nt
Organism: Arvicanthis niloticus (Nile rat)
Lineage: Eukaryota; Metazoa; Chordata; Mammalia; Rodentia; Muridae
Source: RefSeq, a predicted model, not a curated record
GUUCUACAAGUGUUGGUGAGCUGAACCCAUGUGCCUGUGACUGCAGCAGAAGGUUCAUACUUCUGGUAUGAUUUAACAGCUUCCACAUGUUCAUCUGCCACAGCUGGAAGUUAGUGUCACCACACCCUCUCCAUGUGAUGGGUGUGGCCCUGAAAUGAGAGCUCAGGUGACCUGACGGUGCUUAAUUACAUCAUGUUGCCACAUACCUCUUCGCCAUUGUCUAACUGGUUAUGAUUCUAAGGAAAAACCUGUAAAUAUUAUGAGCUUGCAGGUAUGAAAAAUGGAGAUCUUCUAAGAGAUUGUAACUUGCUUGAGGCCUCAAGGAUUGAAACUGUAAAGUACUCAAGAAGUGCAGGGUUCCGUGGAUUUUUUGACAUCAGAGCCUGCGUCUUCCCCACUGAAUAAUGCUGUGAUAUUUGUGUGACCUGUAAUGUUUUUCACCAUCAAAGAGAUCUUUGAUGACACAUCUCACAUCAAAGUCACAUUAGAUGCAAUGGGACUGAAGUCUCUAUCACCAGGAAGUAAACACCAUAAGUUUUCCACAAACUCUGGCAUGUUGCCACUGCUGAAUUGUGAGGCUUGCUGAAUCAUCUGCAGAAGAUAACAUUCAUUUUGCAAAAUGAAAGAAAUGUGGGGUAUAGAUUGUGGUAUAUA